UUGAAAUAUAUACGUAUAUAGCAUGUUUAUAAAGACUUCAAAAUUACUGGAAGUGAUAUUUUUAAGUAGCCUGCAUUAUUCUGUGGCUAUUCGUGGCUCAUUUGGCAAUUGCUCUCUUUACUUUGGAACGCGCCUCGAGAUGCAGUGCACUGGACAGUUAACAAAGCAACUGGUACUCAAGUAUCCAGACGGAUAUGCAGACACCGAUAUUCCGUAUGCAAUCUUUGCGCCAAACCAUUUAAUGCUGUUUGUUUUCGUUACAAUGUACUACUCGCCAAUCAUGAACUGUAGCACCCUCAGAGUGCUAGACUCUAACAACUUCGAAUGCGACUCGAAUGACAAAUUUAAAUUGGCGCUCUCUAGGAUGUUCUGCUACGACAAGCCCCUGACUUAUAUGGCGGCACUCAGGGACAACUGCAUGAAAGCAAAGAACUUCGGGCAUCGUACCAUAGAUCAAUCUAUUUUGCAAUAUGCGGAUGCUCCUUGUGUGGGUAGAUCGGAAACAGCUAGGUGGUGGCUACUGCUCAUUACGGCGAUAGCCACUAUGGGGCCCGUUUAGCAUUUGGAUGACGAAUACGUUUCGAACGAUUUCAAAUAACCUUAGGUUGAAAUAAAGCCUGCUAUGUGAAAUCUUUCCAUAGGGAAUUGGAAUAGAGAUGCUCAAUGUAGAUAGAAGAGUCUGCCAGCUAAAAGCAUCUUUGAUGUUACAGAUGAAGGGCAACAACAGAUCUAUGUGGUUGGCCCAAGCUAAAACUGUAGCGGUUCCGAAAGUUCAAACAGGUGCCAAAAUGGGGCGAGUUUAAAAAAAUUCCAGUAAAAGUAAAAGGGUUUGCAGCAUUUAAACCGAAAAGAGUAUGGUGUUAAUAUAAUUAAACAAGAGCAUGUGUAACCGACUUUUAAACAACAUUAAAUAGCGAUACCUCACCUGUUAA
RNAcentral lists this small RNA (932 nucleotides) under Drosophila virilis. RNAcentral's name for it is "GJ27018". Lineage: Eukaryota; Metazoa; Arthropoda; Insecta; Diptera; Drosophilidae. The record is from RNAcentral.